Molecule: ribosomal RNA, 547 nt
Filed under: Microdochium bolleyi
Lineage: Eukaryota; Fungi; Ascomycota; Sordariomycetes; Xylariales; Microdochiaceae
Description: LSU rRNA
Rfam family: Eukaryotic large subunit ribosomal RNA
Source: RNAcentral
UGCCCUAGUAACGGCGAGUGAAGCGGCAACAGCUCAAAUUUGAAAUCUGGCCUUCUGGUCCGAAUUGUAAUUUGUAGAGGAUGCUUUUGGUUAGGUACCUUUCGAGUUCCUUGGAACAGGACGCCUUAGAGGGUGAGAGCCCCGUACGAUUGGAUACCGAGCCUCUGUAAAGCUCCUUCGACGAGUCGAGUAGUUUGGGAAUGCUGCUCUAAAUGGGAGGUAAAUUUCUUCUAAAGCUAAAUACCGGCCAGAGACCGAUAGCGCACAAGUAGAGUGAUCGAAAGAUGAAAAGCACUUUGAAAAGAGGGUUAAAUAGUACGUGAAAUUGUUGAAAGGGAAGGGCUUAUGACCAGACCUUUGCCUUGCGGAUCAUCCGGUGUUCUCACCGGUGCACUCCGCUUGGUUGAGGCCAGCAUCAGUUUUGGCGGCCGGAUAAAGACUUCAGGAAUGUGACUCCCCCGGGAGUGUUAUAGCCUGCUGUGUAAUACGGCCGCUGGGACUGAGGACCGCGCUUCGGCUAGGAUGCUGGCAUAAUGGUCAUCAGCCA